Molecule: ribosomal RNA, 804 nt
Filed under: uncultured bacterium
Lineage: Bacteria
Description: bacterial SSU rRNA
Rfam family: Bacterial small subunit ribosomal RNA
Source: RNAcentral
GAUGAACUCUGGCGGCGUGCCUAACACAUGCAAGUCGAGCGAUUUACUUCUGUAAAGAGCGGCGGACGGGUGAGUAACGCGUGGGUAACCUGCCCUGUACACACGGAUAACAUACUGAAAGGUAUGCUAAUACGAGAUAAUAUACUUUUAUCGCAUGGUAGAAGUAUCAAAGCUUUUGCGGUACAGGAUGGACCCGCGUCUGAUUAGCUAGUUGGUAAGGUAACGGCUUACCAAGGCGACGAUCAGUAGCCGACCUGAGAGGGUGAUCGGCCACAUUGGAACUGAGACACGGUCCAAACUCCUACGGGAGGCAGCAGUGGGGAAUAUUGCACAAUGGGCGAAAGCCUGAUGCAGCAACGCCGCGUGAGCGAUGAAGGCCUUCGGGUCGUAAAGCUCUGUUCUCAAGGAAGAUAAUGACGGUACUUGAGGAGGAAGCCCCGGCUAACUACGUGCCAGCAGCCGCGGUAAUACGUAGGGGGCUAGCGUUAUCCGGAAUUACUGGGCGUAAAGGGUGCGUAGGUGGUUUCUUAAGUCAGAGGUGAAAGGCUACGGCUCAACCGUAGUAAGCCUUUGAAACUGGGAAACUUGAGUGCAGGAGAGGAGAGUGGAAUUCCUAGUGUAGCGGUGAAAUGCGUAGAUAUUAGGAGGAACACCAGUUGCGAAGGCGGCUCUCUGGACUGUAACUGACACUGAGGCACGAAAGCGUGGGGAGCAAACAGGAUUAGAUACCCUGGUAGUCCACGCCGUAAACGAUGAGUACUAGCUGUCGGAGGUUACCCCCUUCGGGGCGCAGCUAACGCAUUA